Molecule: long non-coding RNA, 154 nt
Organism: Oxyura jamaicensis (ruddy duck)
Lineage: Eukaryota; Metazoa; Chordata; Aves; Anseriformes; Anatidae
Exons: 3
Source: RefSeq, a predicted model, not a curated record
AGGUAGAAAAGGAUGGAUGGGAGGGAAGGGUUUUUUUUUGUUUGUUUGUUUGCUUCUAGUUUCUCACUGCUUUAGUCUGUUAUCAAUAGGCAAUACAUUAUACUAAUCUCCCUUAUGCUGAGUCUGUUUUGCCUGAUGAUAUUUGGUGAGCAAU